RNAcentral lists this ribosomal RNA (136 nucleotides) under Hypseleotris everetti. RNAcentral describes it as "partial 16S ribosomal RNA". The record is from RNAcentral. Lineage: Eukaryota; Metazoa; Chordata; Actinopteri; Gobiiformes; Eleotridae.
CACCCAACAGCUAGCCCUCCCACCCAAAAAUAACAAGAAAACAUCAAUAUUCCCUAAAACCGGAACAUCCUUAAAACAAACCAUUUUUCCCCCUAAGUAUGGGCGACAGAAAAGGACCACAGGCGCUAUAGAAAAG